RNAcentral lists this transfer RNA (64 nucleotides) under Tettigotoma maculata. RNAcentral's name for it is "tRNA-Asn". The record is from RNAcentral. Lineage: Eukaryota; Metazoa; Arthropoda; Insecta; Hemiptera; Cicadidae.
UUAGUUGAAGCCAAGAAGGAGGCAUUUUAAUGUUAAUAAAAUUAUUGAAUUAUUUCCAACUAAA